This 755-nucleotide ribosomal RNA is filed under the name Bacillus sp. TJTB72. RNAcentral describes it as "bacterial SSU rRNA". It matches the Rfam family "Bacterial small subunit ribosomal RNA", at positions 56 to 784 of the family's 1533-position model. The record is from RNAcentral. Lineage: Bacteria; Bacillati; Bacillota; Bacilli; Caryophanales; Bacillaceae.
UGCAGUCGAGCGCAGGAGCCGUCUGAACCCUUCGGGGGGACGACGGUGGAAUGAGCGGCGGACGGGUGAGUAACACGUAAAGAACCUGCCCAUAGGUCUGGGAUAACCACGAGAAAUCGGGGCUAAUACCGGAUGUGUCAUCGGACCGCAUGGUCCGCUGAUGAAAGGCGCUCCGGCGUCGCCCAUGGAUGGCUUUGCGGUGCAUUAGCUAGUUGGUGGGGUAACGGCCCACCAAGGCGACGAUGCAUAGCCGACCUGAGAGGGUGAUCGGCCACACUGGGACUGAGACACGGCCCAGACUCCUACGGGAGGCAGCAGUAGGGAAUCUUCCACAAUGGACGAAAGUCUGAUGGAGCAACGCCGCGUGAACGAUGAAGGCUUUCGGGUCGUAAAGUUCUGUUGUAAGGGAAGAACAAGUGCCGCAGGCAAUGGCGGCACCUUGACGGUACCUUGCGAGAAAGCCACGGCUAACUACGUGCCAGCAGCCGCGGUAAUACGUAGGUGGCAAGCGUUGUCCGGAAUUAUUGGGCGUAAAGCGCGCGCAGGCGGCCUCUUAAGUCUGAUGUGAAAGCCCCCGGCUCAACCGGGGGAGGGCCAUUGGAAACUGGGGAGGCUUGAGUAUAGGAGAGAAGAGUGGAAUUCCACGUGUAGCGGUGAAAUGCGUAGAGAUGUGGAGGAACACCAGUGGCGAAAGCGACUCUUGGCCUAUAACUGACGCUGAGGCGCGAAGCGUGGGGAGCAAACAGGAUUAGAUA